CAAUAGCGUGUAUUAAAGUUGUUGCAGUUAAAAAGCUCGUAGUUGGAUUUGUGGCGUACGGUGUGUUCCGGGCACUUGUUGUCUGAGUAACCUGCUGUUGCCAUCCUUGGGUGGAACCUGUGUGGCAUUAGGUUGUCGUGCAGGGGAUGCCCAUCAUUUACUGUGAAAAAAUUAGAGUGUUCAAAGCAGGCUUAUGCCGUUGAAUAUAUUAGCAUGGAAUAAUGAGAUAGGACUUUUUUGCUAUUUUGUUGGUUUGCGCAAGAAGGUAAUGAUUAAUAGGGACAGUUGGGGGUAUUCGUAUUCCAUUGUCAGAGGUGAAAUUCUUGGAUUUUUGGAAGACGAACUACUGCGAAAGCAUUUACCAAGGAUGUUUUCAUUAA
This 380-nucleotide ribosomal RNA is filed under the name uncultured eukaryote. RNAcentral describes it as "partial 18S ribosomal RNA". It matches the Rfam family "Eukaryotic small subunit ribosomal RNA", at positions 592 to 976 of the family's 1831-position model. The record is from RNAcentral.